UGGGGAAUCUUCCGCAAUGGACGAAAGUCUGACGGAGCAACGCCGCGUGAGUGAAGAAGGUUUUCGGAUCGUAAAACUCUGUCUUUUGGGGCGAACGUGAGUAUGGUGAACAAUCAUAGUCAGUGACGGUACCAAAGGAGGAAGCCACGGCUAACUACGUGCCAGCAGCCGCGGUAAUACGUAGGUGGCAAGCGUUGUCCGGAAUUAUUGGGCGUAAAGAGCGCGUAGGCGGGAUAGUCAGUCUGUUGUAAAAGUGCGGGGCUCAACCCCGUGAUGGCAAUGGAAACAGCUAUUCUUGAGUGCAGGAGAGGAAAGUGGAAUUCCCAGUGUAGCGGUGAAAUGCGUAGAUAUUGGGAGGAACACCAGUGGCGAAGGCGACUUUCUGGACUGUGUCUGACGCUGAGGCGCGAAAGCCAGGGGAGCGAACGGGAUUAGAUACCCCGGUAGUCCUGGCCGUAAACGAUGGGUACUAGGUGUGGGAGGUAUCGACCCCUUCCGUGCCGGAGUUAACGCAAUAAGUACCCCGCCUGGGGAGUACGGUCGCAAGACUGAAACUCAAAGGAAUUGACGGGGUCAUAGCUGUUU
RNAcentral lists this ribosomal RNA (585 nucleotides) under uncultured bacterium. Its description in RNAcentral is "partial 16S ribosomal RNA". It matches the Rfam family "Bacterial small subunit ribosomal RNA", at positions 355 to 935 of the family's 1533-position model. The record is from RNAcentral.